GGAAAUUAAUGUUAUGACUGGAUAAGACAAUUGUGAAGAAACUGCACUUCGAGACUGUCUAUCUCCAUAUUCUGAUGGAAAAGCGUGGACUUUAGAAGCAUUGCUCACUCCUUCAGUUUCUAACAAGCCAGUUCUUGGAGAUACUAGGAAGCCAAGAGCUUCCUCCAAGAAUGGAGAUUCCUUGGAAGUGAGGUUCACCUUGAGUCAAGAAAGACAAAUCACAUACAGUAAAAGGCAAUUGCCCAGGGUCUCAAGAACAGAGCCAGAAAGAAGAGCUGGGGCCAACGGGAUUGUGGGGGUCCUCUCUCCCACCUGAAAAGCUUCUGCUGCCUGCCGAUCCUCUCGAGAGGAGACGUCUCUGGGCUCUAGCACCUAAAACAGACAAACCUGGGAGGAUGCUUCUCUCUUCUGUGUCACACGUGUCCUGGAGAAAACCCAUGUAUCUGAAUGACCAAAGAAAACUAUGAGAAAAAGUGCAAAAUCUGUGCCAGGCCAUUCAGUGUCUGGCUGGGGCUCUGGGGUGCACAUGCAUUCCAAGAAGACUGAAGGGUGCCAAGCCUGCAGGAACUGUCCAUCAGACCUGCCUCUCACACCUGGAGUAGGACUGCCCAUCCAGCUUCAUGAUGCAGAACUGUCUUUAAAAGGCGACUGCAGAUAUGGAGAGAGGGAAUUCUAGCCCUGAUAGAACACAACCAGCUGUCCUGCUGGGGAAAGCUGCAUCCACCAGUGACAUGCCGCUCAAACUGGCCCAGGACACACUCUUACUACCUAAGGAAUAAGCCCCACAUUUGCUCUUUGUGGGUAAAAGGAGAGGGUGAGAGAGGAGGGGAGUGUCCGCACAGACAUGAGAAGCCUGCAGAUCCAGAUGAUUCCUUGCUGAUCAGAAUAAGAAAGAUCGACUUGUGAAAACCAUGACCCCGUAGCAGAUGAGCUUCUAAAGCAGGCUUCAACCAUGUGUCAUCUGGACCCACUGGUGGAGAAGUCUGCCCCGACUCUGUUGAUGGUCUGGGGGAUACCAUUACUGAGACAGAUUUAAGAAAUAAUCUCUACCAGUUGGCGAGAUCUGGAUGGUCACUUCUGCGAGACAGCAGUGUGCUCUUAUCAGCUUUCCACAGGGCAGGCUGUGGAAAUGGUGCUGAGAAGUCCUUUUGUAAAUUGAUUGUCCAUGGCUGCAGACUUACCAUCAAAUGGAAGAAGAUUCCAAGCUCUCAAAGAAAAGGAAAAAGAGAAGGAUGGAACCACAGACUCUGGGAUCCUGCCAGAGCCUAUUUCAGUGCUGCCAGGAGCUCCUCCUCCCCCUGCAGCUCUGGUCCCCGCCUUGGAGCCUCCUUCCAAGGACAGCCUCUGAGUCCAGCUUCCCCACUGACACUGAUUUCACCCAGCUCAGGAGCUGAAGGCUGUGCUGCUCAGUGGCCCCUGAGAAAGUCAGGGUGACCCCACGGGGGAUCCGAACCUAAGGAUUCUGGAAGCUUCCGGCCUUUGGCUCCACAGUUCCUCAGGAGAGGUUCAGUCUGCCUAGGACUGGGCCUCCCUUCCCAUGAAUAAAGAGUGAGCAAGAGCUCAGGUUGUGAA
RNAcentral lists this long non-coding RNA (1572 nucleotides) under Pongo abelii (Sumatran orangutan). RNAcentral's name for it is "lincRNA". Lineage: Eukaryota; Metazoa; Chordata; Mammalia; Primates; Hominidae. The record is from RNAcentral.